This 333-nucleotide ribosomal RNA is filed under the name Halicarcinus innominatus. RNAcentral describes it as "partial 12S ribosomal RNA". Lineage: Eukaryota; Metazoa; Arthropoda; Malacostraca; Decapoda; Hymenosomatidae. The record is from RNAcentral.
UCUUUAUAUAGAUAUUUUCUUAAAAUUUAAAGAAUUUGGCAGUAAUUUAGUCUAGCUAGAGGAAUUUGUAUAAUAAUUGAUAAACCUCGUUAAAUCUUACUUAUAUUAAAAAUUUGUAUAUCGUCAUUAGCAGAUUAUAUUUAGAAAUAAUUAUUUAUAUGGAAUUAAUCAUUAAAAUUAGAUCAUGGUGCAGUUUAUAUAUAAGAAUAUAUUAAUUACAAUAAUUUUAUUUAAAUUACGAAUUUUUAUAGGAAGUUAUAUAAUGAAGGUGGAUUUAGUUGUAUUAUAAAAAAUUAAUAAAGUUUUAAGAGAUAAGAUUUAAAUUGUGUACAC